Molecule: long non-coding RNA, 203 nt
Filed under: Lathyrus oleraceus (garden pea)
Lineage: Eukaryota; Viridiplantae; Streptophyta; Magnoliopsida; Fabales; Fabaceae
Description: Pisum sativum (pea) long non-coding RNA (PSAT_LNC037877)
Source: RNAcentral
UUUUUCCAUCUUUCCUCAUAAUUAGUACAUCGCCAAUACCUUUAGCAGCCAUGGUAUUGUCAUUUUUGAAUUUCACCUUGUUCUUCAUCGAGGGACUCAUGUUGACAAACUAGUCUUUUCUUCUAGUCAUGUGUAAUGAGCAGCCUGAGUUCAAGUACCAUUGGUCCUUGAAUAUUUCUUCAUCUUUCAUCGUGACCAUCAAC